GCCCGGGUGGUGGAAUGGCAGACACGAAGGUCUUAGAAGCCUUUGCCGUAAGGCGUGCAGGUUCGAGUCCUGUCCCGGGCACCA
This 84-nucleotide transfer RNA is filed under the name Opitutaceae bacterium. RNAcentral's name for it is "tRNA-Leu". It matches the Rfam family "tRNA". From Rfam's summary of the family: Transfer RNA (tRNA) molecules are approximately 80 nucleotides in length. Their secondary structure includes four short double-helical elements and three loops (D, anti-codon, and T loops). The record is from RNAcentral. RNAcentral also lists the same sequence under 1 other name. Lineage: Bacteria; Pseudomonadati; Verrucomicrobiota; Opitutia; Opitutales; Opitutaceae.